UGUACUACCAUAUGCAUCUUAAUCCCAUGCCAGAAGGACUCCUCCUUCUGCCAACACCAAAACUUGCACGCAAAACCUAUUUUGCACCAAGAGUCCUUCAUAAUUUGAACUCUUCAUAAUUGGCAUUAACAUAGAAUAUGGUGCCCCAAUUUAGGCUGCUUCCAGGUGGCAUGACUUGACCUAAAUACCCACCAAAUUGAGCUAGCUAAUUAACAAAGGAUG
This 222-nucleotide long non-coding RNA is filed under the name Elaeis guineensis (African oil palm). Its description in RNAcentral is "long non-coding RNA (EGUI_LNC072856)". The record is from RNAcentral. Lineage: Eukaryota; Viridiplantae; Streptophyta; Magnoliopsida; Arecales; Arecaceae.